This is a non-coding RNA of Miniopterus natalensis, 1547 nucleotides long. The record is from RefSeq and is a predicted model, not a curated record. NCBI's taxonomy places the organism in Eukaryota, Metazoa, Chordata, Mammalia, Chiroptera, Miniopteridae.
CUCUGCACCCCAUUGUUCCCCCCUCGCUCCCCCAGGCCUUCUCCACACUAAAAAUGGUAUUCUCAAGUAUAUCAUUAAAGUAUCUUUAAGAAAGGUAUGUCUUUAAAAGAUAUUUAUGGAAUUUAACAGAAGGACCUUGGAGAACCCAGCAAGGAAAUUGCAAAUGGAUCUCUGAAGGAUGGAUGGGACUGUGGCAGGCAGAGACAGGCUCGUUGAGGACGCCGAAGGAACAGUGCGGUCGAGGACCCGGGAUGAGAAACGGAAGGAGUGUUGUGGGAACACCAGGAUGUCGGUCUGGGAAGGUGAGCCAGGGCCCUGGUUCCGAAGGCUAACCUGACCCCUUUGUCAUUGGCUGGCUGCGAAGAACCGCUGGACCUUGAACCGUGGGGAUCUCCUGUGGUACCUCCCAGCGGCUGACUCCAAGAGGAAGACUUAAGGGUAAGUGAGCCCAGAUGAUGCUGUCCUGCAAGGUCAGCCCUGGAGAAGGGUGGAGAGUGGACCUGGAGGAACAAAGCAGAAUUAUCUAGCAGUUGGCGUGAUUGGGAAAGUGUCACUUUACAUAGAAGAAAACUCUGGCCAGAGAACUGAGCCGACCUGACCUUUAUGUAGUGACAGAACUGCCUGGAACAAGGCCAAGAAAGUUACAGCUGAAGACUCAGGACACUUGUGUGGCCAGUUGGUUCACCCAACCCUCUACCCAAACAGUUGCUUGAUGGGAAAAUCAAUCUCCCCUUAACUCGAAAGGAUGAAGGAGAAGACAGUUAGCACUUGUUAACAAGCUGUUUAUUACAGUGAUCAACGGGGGGCAUCCUGUGAUGUGUUUCUCCUCUAUCAGUACUUUCCCGUAGGCGACUUAAAAAUCUCUGCAUAAAGAACAGACCUCACCUCUUUCUGCCAAACUCCCAACUGCAACAAACACAGAGAAAACCAAAACCAAACCAUAGGCCACCGGAAACUGGGUAGUGUUACUGUCAGGUCGCAGGCCAGGGCCCGAGGCAGAAACUGAGAGCCCUGGCGAGCAACUGGUCACACAGGACCCGAGAUCAGGAUACAGGGGGCAGGCCCUGUUGUGCCCCCAGAGAUCACACCAAAGGCAGUGGAGAAAGUGCCAGGGUUCAAGGGCACCAUCCGGUUGACCAGGGAAAGACCGAAAUACCAGAUCUGAGCAGAAAGGAGAUAUAGCCACGUGCCGAGCUUGCAAAUUAACCUCUGCAUGCCCACAAAAACAGUGUUAUCUAGUAGCCAUACUGAAAACAGAAAAGGAACAGGUGAAAUUAAAUGUAAUAUAUUUUAUGUUUUCUUGAACUCGGUAUAUCAAAGUGUUACCGUUUCAACUUGUAAUCAACAGGACUGAUGUCGUUUACAACGAUCCCUUUUUUCCCUACCAAAUCUUCAAGAUGUGGGGUGUGUUCCGUAGCACGUCUCCAUCCGGACUAGCCCCAUGUCAAGGGCUCAGUGGCCCAUGUGGCUAGUGGCUUCUGUGUCGGGCAGCACAGGCUUGGAGAAAACCAUACUUAACAUUUUGACAUUAAAGUGUUUUGCCUGUA